GGUUCUAUGGUGUAAUGGUUAGCACGCUGGACUCUGAAUCCAGCAAUCUGAGUUUAAAUCUCGGUAGGACAU
RNAcentral lists this transfer RNA (72 nucleotides) under Danionella translucida. It matches the Rfam family "tRNA". From Rfam's summary of the family: Transfer RNA (tRNA) molecules are approximately 80 nucleotides in length. Their secondary structure includes four short double-helical elements and three loops (D, anti-codon, and T loops). Further hydrogen bonds mediate the characteristic L-shaped molecular structure. tRNAs have two regions of fundamental functional importance: the anti-codon, which is responsible for specific mRNA codon recognition, and the 3' end, to which the tRNAs corresponding amino acid is attached (by aminoacyl-tRNA synthetases). tRNAs cope with the degeneracy of the genetic code in two manners: having more than one tRNA (with a specific anti-codon) for a particular amino acid; and 'wobble' base-pairing, i.e. permitting non-standard base-pairing at the 3rd anti-codon position. Lineage: Eukaryota; Metazoa; Chordata; Actinopteri; Cypriniformes; Danionidae. The record is from Rfam by way of RNAcentral. RNAcentral also lists the same sequence under 1 other name.